Molecule: long non-coding RNA, 988 nt
Filed under: Gossypium barbadense (sea-island cotton)
Lineage: Eukaryota; Viridiplantae; Streptophyta; Magnoliopsida; Malvales; Malvaceae
Description: long non-coding RNA (GBAR_LNC008690)
Source: RNAcentral
GUAAGUCUUCUUCAAUUAUCCUUUCAAAUCAUCACUUUACUUGCUUCGAUUACAGCUAGUAUUUAACUCCUAAGCUAAUGCUAUUAGCUUAAAUUGGCUAUUCAGACAUGAUUGAUAUCUUCAUAAUACUUUGAAGAUAUAAUUAAAAUGUUUUGAAGUUUGAAAUGGAUUUAAAAUAUGGAUUGUAGUGAAAAAGAGUAACUAUAUUAUGGAUACUCUUAUACUAAGAGCUAGAUAACAUUUUGCAUCUUUUACUAAAAAAUGGACAAGUUAAACCAUAUAUAUUAGAUUAAAGAGUAAAUUAAAUUUUUUAUUAAAAUUGUUAUUGAUUUAUACUAUUAAAAAUUAGCGUGAAUAAUAGAAUAAUCAAAUAGGGACACUUGAUGUGCCACAUGUACAAAAACUAAUUUUUAACACAAAAUGGAUUGAAUUUUUAACAAAAGAACCAAUUUACUGUUUGAGCGUAGAAAGACUAAUUUACUCAUUUUUUAAAUAAAAAAAAUAAAAUGCAAUUCGAUUUUUAAUAUGGAGGACUCCAUUUACUUUUACCUGAAAAAUACAUUUGGUACAAUUAACCCAAUCAUCAGCAUGUGAUAUGGUUCAAUAAUUUGAUAGCCAAACCAUGUUCUUGGCAGCCGGAACUUUGAAUUCCGAUGAGCCAAGAGACCUUGAUCUGGCGUACAAAGAUCGGUUUUUCCUCCAACCAUUGACUCCGGCACAAGCGGCUCAGAGGGCAAAGGAAUCAGCCAAAGACAUCCUUGGUGUCAAGACCUUGAUCGACAAAAAAGCAUGGCCCUAUGUCAUGAAUGACCUUCGUCUCAAGGCUGAGUACCUCCGCUUUGACCUUAAAACUGUUAUUUCUUCCAAGCCCAAAGAUGAAAAGAAAUCUCUCGAUGAACUCACUAAAAAGCUCUUCAAUACCAUUGAUGGAGUAAGUUUUGAAGUAUACAGAUUAAUUUAUAUUAUUUAACGAAAUAUUAUAACUUAC